AGUUUGUUCGGAACUACGAUCCUCUGGUCACGAACCUGCUCGGCUCCAUCAGAAUCGCUCUCGGGAUUUGGCGUUGCAGUAAGAGAUUUCAUGUUGCUGUAAGUGUGUUGUUACUCACUGUUUGUCAUAUUAUGAUCUCUCUUUCUUUGUCUGUGAUGGAUUUGGAUUUGGAUUUGGCUUUGGCUUUGGCUUUGGUUUGAAACGGAGAAAAUAAAUGCAAGAGAAGCAAGUAUGUGGCUGUGAUGAGAGGGAUCUAUCAAGGAGGGUCCAUGGAAAUGCUCAUUCAUUUGUUGUAACAAUAUGAGAGACAGUGGUGGGAGAUUGAUAUUGUGCUCAUUUAUGAGGGAGAUGAGGAAUGUUGGGUAUGAUAUCAUCAUAUUUCCCUUCCAUCUACCUCUACCCCAAUGGAUGUCUACAAUAUAACUAAGAAAAUGCGACCGCGUUGUCUUAAUGGAAAUUUGAAUCUAACUGAUUACUUUAGUUUUAAUUCAAAUUUUAUAGACAUUUUCUAAUCAAAAGAAAUACAAUUUCUUUAAAUUUAUUUUAUGCUCUAGUUGAAAGUAAGUUUUAAAAUUUAUAAUUUAAAUCUUGGUAAUUUUAGGUGUAAAUCGAUUUUGAUUAUUAAUUUUAUUGUGGGACGAUUUUUAGUUUUUUUUUCUUCUUUUCUUCGUAUUAUUAAUUUCUUCAUAUUAUUACGUUUUCUUUCUCUCUUUUUUUUCUUGUUUACAAUUUCUUCAUUUUCUCUUCCAUAAUUUUUUUCCUUCUUUUUCAUUUUUCAUUUUCUUUGGUCUUAGAUCUAAACGAUCGUAAUACUAAUAUUUAAACGAUCAGUUGUCUAUCACAAAUAGACAUAUAGACCACUAUCACUAAUAGACUAUUUACUUUGGUACAAGAUCAUUUAGGGUGGUACAAAAUUGUUUAAAUUUGGUACGAUAUCGUUUAGACUAAGUAUAAGAUCAGGUACACGGGUAUAAUAUUGUUUAAACUUAGUACAAAUCGUUUGAACUUGGUACAAAAUAUCGUUUAAACGAGGUACAAAAUCAUUUUUUCACGCAUGUGAUCGAUUAAUUGUAUGAGUAUUUUUUAUAUUUCACGUAGUGGACUUGUAAGCUUUUUUUCCUUUUCAAAUUUUUGCGUUUUAUUCUUUUUUUUUUAAAAAAAAAUAACCUUUAAUCAUUAUGCAUCUCAAAAACUUAAAAAGAAUGAAUAUCAAAUAUCUGAUUUGAGUGAAGUUACUUAGCAUGUUUUAUUAACAUAUAAGAGUGUUUAUUUAAUUAGAAACAUGGGUUGUUCCUAUUCAUGAAUAAUUAUUUUACUAUCCAUAUUUAUCUUUUACAAUCAGGUGAGCUUGAGAUUAAGUUAAUUUGAAGGUUAGAGCUUGAGACCUCGCAUGGCCUGGAGACCCUUAUCCCUUGCUGACAACCAGCCAUCAUCUACAACAUUAAUAAUACUUCUUUUCAUCUCAUUUUUAUACUGUCAUCAAUCACGAGUUACAUUGAUUUUUGUAAAGUUGAUGUAUCAUUAGUCUGUAUGAACAGGAGAUGAUGGUUAAAACACUAAUUAUCAUCUCUUGUCAAUGGUUAGUUACUCUUUUACAAGGUUGGAUUGUCUCCACAUGGCAUAAGUUUAUCCUAUCAAUAUAGUAUGUUAAUU
This 1653-nucleotide long non-coding RNA is filed under the name Cucumis sativus (cucumber). Its description in RNAcentral is "long non-coding RNA (CSAT_LNC001442)". Lineage: Eukaryota; Viridiplantae; Streptophyta; Magnoliopsida; Cucurbitales; Cucurbitaceae. The record is from RNAcentral.